Long non-coding RNA from Salarias fasciatus (jewelled blenny), 534 nucleotides. RefSeq lists it as uncharacterized. The record is from RefSeq and is a predicted model, not a curated record. The transcript has 2 exons. NCBI's taxonomy places the organism in Eukaryota, Metazoa, Chordata, Actinopteri, Blenniiformes, Blenniidae.
GAAAGAAAAACUUGCAAAUGGAUGAAGGAAAAUUCAUGAAAAAGUUGAUUAUAUGGAGUGAAUGUUCUUCAAGAAACUUUUUUUUUUAUUUUUGAAUUUUUUUUUUUUUUUUUUUUUUUUUGAGAUGGACUCGCUGUGAGUUUUUUCUUUGAGUUCGCCAGUAACCCCGAAACGUUCGUGGAUGGAGCAAAGGGGUCAAAAAUAAAAAAAAAAACAAAAAAAAACACCCCACCUGGACUUGGGUGUGAGACGUGCUGCCGUGGCUCCAAGACUGACUGAUAGUAACUUAUCAUCGAGGUCGCAGCGGCGGCGGGAGAGCCGGUCGUCGGCGGAGGAGGCGGAGACGCCUCCACUUCCUCUCCAAACCCGGCGGAGGCCUCCGGAGCUGAAGGGUGACCGCUCGAGGAAAAACGCUCGGUAUUGGAAUCUGGCUGUACUUUAUUUGCUGCCCUCUGCAAGGAGGAUCUAUUCUACAGCCAGCCCAUGAGCCAGUUGUCCCUAAACCUGUCCCUUUGAACUUUAACCCCCCUCCCC